Molecule: ribosomal RNA, 465 nt
Filed under: Vreelandella stevensii
Lineage: Bacteria; Pseudomonadati; Pseudomonadota; Gammaproteobacteria; Oceanospirillales; Halomonadaceae
Description: partial 16S ribosomal RNA
Rfam family: Bacterial small subunit ribosomal RNA
Source: RNAcentral
CCUACGGGCGGCAGCAGUGGGGAAUAUUGGACAAUGGGGGGAACCCUGAUCCAGCCAUGCCGCGUGUGUGAAGAAGGCCCUCGGGUUGUAAAGCACUUUCAGUGAGGAAGAACGCCUGGUGGUUAAUACCCAUCAGGAAAGACAUCACUCACAGAAGAAGCACCGGCUAACUCCGUGCCAGCAGCCGCGGUAAUACGGAGGGUGCGAGCGUUAAUCGGAAUUACUGGGCGUAAAGCGCGCGUAGGUGGCUUGAUAAGCCGGUUGUGAAAGCCCCGGGCUCAACCUGGGAACGGCAUCCGGAACUGUCAAGCUAGAGUGCAGGAGAGGAAGGUAGAAUUCCCGGUGUAGCGGUGAAAUGCGUAGAGAUCGGGAGGAAUACCAGUGGCGAAGGCGGCCUUCUGGACUGACACUGACACUGAGGUGCGAAAGCGUGGGUAGCAAACAGGAUUAGAUGCCCUGGUAGUC